This 262-nucleotide ribosomal RNA is filed under the name uncultured bacterium. Its description in RNAcentral is "partial 16S ribosomal RNA". It matches the Rfam family "Bacterial small subunit ribosomal RNA", at positions 793 to 1055 of the family's 1533-position model. The record is from RNAcentral.
GUCCACGCCGUAAACGUUGGGCACUAGGUGUGGGUCUCAACCAACGAGAUCCGCGCCGUCGCUAACGCAUUAAGUGCCCCGCCUGGGGAGUACGGCCGCAAGGUUAAAACUCAAAGGAAUUGACGGGGGCCCGCACAAGCAGCGGAGCGUGUUGCUUAAUUCGAUGCAACGCGAAGAACCUUACCUGGGCUUGACAUGUACGGAAAAGCCGUAGAGAUACGGUGUCCUUAGGGGCCGUACACAGGUGGUGCAUGGCUGUCGU